GUAGGGUGCGAGCGUUAAUCGGAAUUACUGGGCGUAAAGCGUGCGCAGGCGGCGCCGCAAGUCGAGUGUGAAAUCCCCGAGCUUAACUUGGGAAUUGCGCUCGAAACUACGGUGCUGGAGUGUGGCAGAGGGAGGUGGAAUUCCACGUGUAGCGGUGAAAUGCGUAGAGAUGUGGAGGAACACCGAUGGCGAAGGCAGCCUCCUGGGCCAACACUGACGCUCAUGCACGAAAGCGUGGGGAGCAAACAGGAUUAGAUACCCUGGUAGUCCACGCCCUAAACGAUGAUGACUAGUUGUUGGGGGAGUUAAAUCCCUUAGUAACGCAGCUAACGCGUGAAGUCAUCCGCCUGGGGAGUACGGUCGCAAGAUUA
RNAcentral lists this ribosomal RNA (371 nucleotides) under uncultured bacterium. Its description in RNAcentral is "bacterial SSU rRNA". It matches the Rfam family "Bacterial small subunit ribosomal RNA", at positions 527 to 896 of the family's 1533-position model. The record is from RNAcentral.